RNAcentral lists this ribosomal RNA (253 nucleotides) under uncultured bacterium. RNAcentral's name for it is "partial 16S ribosomal RNA". It matches the Rfam family "Bacterial small subunit ribosomal RNA", at positions 524 to 776 of the family's 1533-position model. The record is from RNAcentral.
UACGUAUGGUGCAAGCGUUAUCCGGAUUUACCGGGUGUAAAGGGAGCGCAGGCGGCACGGCAAGCCUGAUGUGAAAGCCCGCGGCCCAACCGCGGGACUGCAUUGGGAACUACCGGGCUGGAGUGCCGGAGAGGUAGGCGGAAUUCCUAGUGUAGCGGUGAAAUGCGUAGAUAUUAGGAGGAACACCAGUGGCGAAGGCGGCCUACUGGACGGUGACUGACGCUGAGGCUCGAAAGCGUGGGGAGCAAACAGG